Homo sapiens (human) is the source of this 674-nucleotide long non-coding RNA. Ensembl annotates it as cancer/testis associated transcript 69. Its record names the gene CT69. Lineage: Eukaryota; Metazoa; Chordata; Mammalia; Primates; Hominidae. The record is from Ensembl.
GCUCUGAUCCUAAUAAUCCUUUUGAUACUCUGUUCUAAUUUACUAAGAAGAGUCACCAAUUUUGUUUCUGUGGUUUGGUAUGAAAUAAGGUGGCAGAAACAGCACUCUCCAAAUAUCCAUGCACUCCUGACAUUUUUCAGCAGCCCACAUUACUAAUUCUGGCUGAGGGAUUGGGAGCAGAAGAGACACGUGUCAUCUCUGAGUUGAGGCUGUUAAGAGCUGGUGCAACUUUCCAUUCUUCUCUUCCCCUCUAGCAGUGACCUGAGAAGCUACGUAUUGACACGGCGCUACCACGGGUGGAGGAGCCUGCAUUGCUGAAUCACAGGAUGAAGGCGAAUCCCUGCCAGCCUCCAUCCAUCUCUGGGGUGCUUAGCAGAAUCCUCAGCUCACAAGAUGAAUAAAUGCAGACUAAAUGAUGCACAAAUAAUCUUCACACACAACCAUCAACACAUGGAAAGACUGCAGGACGGCCAGAUCCCAAGCUAACAAACAGGGGAAGAUGAUGUUUCAAAUGAUCAUCUGAAUGCUGGGUUUCCACCUUCCACCAGGAAGUCAUAUGGUUGUUCAACAGUUUCGUAUCUGCCAAACCUGAGAAAAUUCUUCAUAAAAUUUCAGAGCUUUUGAGCCUCUUUGAAGUGGCAAUAUCCACAGGGGACCCGAUGUGCUCAGCUAAC